Molecule: ribosomal RNA, 229 nt
Filed under: uncultured bacterium
Lineage: Bacteria
Description: partial 16S ribosomal RNA
Rfam family: Bacterial small subunit ribosomal RNA
Source: RNAcentral
GGAGGGUGCAAGCGUUAUCCGGAAUUAUUGGGUUUAAAGGGUGCGUAGGCGGAAAUUUAAGUCAGUGGUGAAAGCCUGCAGCUUAACUGUAGAAUUGCCAUUGAAACUGAAUUUCUUGAAUAUAAUUGAAGUAGGCGGAAUAUGACAUGUAGCGGUGAAAUGCUUAGAUAUGUCAUAGAACACCAAUAGCGAAGGCAGCUUACUAGUUAGUAUUGCGCUAUGCACGAAG